This 497-nucleotide ribosomal RNA is filed under the name uncultured bacterium. RNAcentral's name for it is "partial 16S ribosomal RNA". It matches the Rfam family "Bacterial small subunit ribosomal RNA", at positions 28 to 507 of the family's 1533-position model. The record is from RNAcentral.
GACGAACGCUGGCGGCGUGCCUAACACAUGCAAGUCGAACGAACCGACCAGGAGUUUGCGCGUUCGACGUUAGCGGCGGACGGGUGAGUAACAUGUGGACAACCUACCUAUACGACUGGGAUAACUUCGGGAAACCGGAGCUUAGACCGGAUAACAUAUUGAACCGCAUGGUUCAACAGUGAAAGUCGGUAGUUCGUUCAGUAAUAGAUGACCCCGGGCCGCAUUAGUUUGUUGUUAAGGUAGCGGCUUACCAAGGCAAGGAUGCUCAGCCGACCUCAGAGCGUGGUCGGCCACCCGGGAACUGAGACACGGUCCCGACUCCGGCGGGAGGCCGCAGUCGGGACUCCUACGCGAUGGGGGAAUGCCUGACGGAGCAACGUCGGGUGAGUGAUGAAGGUCCUCGGAUCGUAAAGCUCUGUUAGUCGUAGAGAACAAAUGUGUAAUUAACCGUGCACGUCUUGACGGUACCGGGUCAAAAAGCCCCGGCUAACUCCGUG